AUGGCAGCCUGUGUGGACAAGUGGAACCCAGCAUACUCCUGCCACCGCAUCUCCCGAUCCAUCUACCGCUUCAUGCCGGACUGCACCGUCACCGCACCGGCGGGCGCGCCCGUGAACGGGAACGGCGGCGAUGAAGUCUGGGAGGAGCUGUACGGCGAGGCGCAGGCCGACGCGCAGGACGAGCCGCUGCUGGGCAUGUUCUACUCCGAGCUCGUCCUGUCGCACCCGUCGCUGGAGGCCGCCCUCGCGGCGCACCUGUCCGCGAAGCUCUGCAUCCCGGGCGCGCUGCCGCAGGACGCGCUCCGGGACAUCCUCGCUGGCGCGCUGGCGGCACACCCGGAGGCGAGCCAGCACACGCGUGCCGACCUCCUCGCGGCGCGGGACCGCGAUCCGGCCUGCGCCAAGAUGGUCCACUGCUUCCUCUACUACAAGGGCUUCCUCGCCCUGCAGGCCCACCGCGCCGCGCACGCGCUCUGGUCCGAGGGCCGCCGCCCGCCGGCCCUGCUCCUCCAGAGCCGCGCCUCGGAGGUGUUCGGCGUCGACAUCCACCCCGGGGCGCGCAUUGGCGGGGGCAUCCUGCUCGACCACGCCACGGGCGUCGUCAUCGGCGAGACGGCGGUCAUAGGCGACGACGUGUCUAUCCUGCACGGCGUGACGCUGGGCGGCACGGGGAAGGCAUGCGGCGACCGGCACCCCAAGGUCGGCGACGGGGUUCUCAUCGGCGCCGGGGCCAGCGUUCUGGGAAAUGUGCGCAUUGGCGAUGGAGCCAAGAUCGGCGCGGGCGCGGUCGUGCUUAGAGAUGUGGCGUGUGGAACCACGGCCGUCGGAAACCCGGCGAAGCCGAUCGGGAAGAAGGCGGCGCCGUCGCUCCGGCCAGAGGAGCAACCAGGGGUGACCAUGGAGCAGAGGUGGUCGGACUACGUCAUAUGA
Molecule: ribosomal RNA, 930 nt
Filed under: Triticum aestivum (bread wheat)
Lineage: Eukaryota; Viridiplantae; Streptophyta; Magnoliopsida; Poales; Poaceae
Description: partial small subunit ribosomal RNA
Source: RNAcentral